GAACACGUGAGAAACCUGCCUCGGAUUUUGGGAUAACAAAUGGAAACGUUUGCUAAUACCAAAUAACGUCGGAAGUCCGCAUGGACAUCUGACGAAAGGGAUUCCGGUUUGGGAGCGUCUCGCGGACCUAUCAGCUUGUUGGUGGGGUAAUGGCCUACCAAGGCAACGACGGGUAGCUGGUCUGAGAGGAUGAUCAGCCACACUGGGACUGAGACACGGCCCAGACUCC
Molecule: ribosomal RNA, 229 nt
Filed under: uncultured bacterium
Lineage: Bacteria
Description: partial 16S ribosomal RNA
Rfam family: Bacterial small subunit ribosomal RNA
Source: RNAcentral